GGCAAUGAUGGUGUAAUUUGCGUCUGACUCUGUGAUCAGUGACAGAAAGCCUGCUGUCAUAUGCUGACACAGUUGGCUGACGAACCUUAGAACUGAGCA
Molecule: small nucleolar RNA, 99 nt
Organism: Sphaeramia orbicularis (orbiculate cardinalfish)
Lineage: Eukaryota; Metazoa; Chordata; Actinopteri; Kurtiformes; Apogonidae
Gene: SNORD16
Rfam family: Small nucleolar RNA SNORD16
About the family: U16 is a member of the C/D class of snoRNA which contain the C (UGAUGA) and D (CUGA) box motifs. U81 acts as a guanine methylation guide and is found in an intron of ribosomal proteins L1 gene in animals.
Source: Ensembl